This 66-nucleotide ribosomal RNA is filed under the name Rossellomorea aquimaris. The record is from RNAcentral. Lineage: Bacteria; Bacillati; Bacillota; Bacilli; Caryophanales; Bacillaceae.
GUUAAGCUCUUCAGCGCCGAUGGUAGUUGGGGGAUCUCCCCCUGUGAGAGUAGGACGUCGCCAGGC